This 801-nucleotide long non-coding RNA is filed under the name Olea europaea subsp. europaea. The record is from RNAcentral. Lineage: Eukaryota; Viridiplantae; Streptophyta; Magnoliopsida; Lamiales; Oleaceae.
CAGCCCAGUGCAAGUACCAAAGAAAGGAGGGAUGACAGUAGUUAAGAACGACAAUAAUGAGCUAAUUCCAACAAGAACAGUAACUGGCUGGAGGGUGUGCAUUAACUACAGGAAACUGAACAAGGCAACUAGAAAGGACCAUUUCCCACUGCCGUUCAUAGAUCAAAUGUUGGACAGAUUAGCUGGCUACUCUUACUAUUGCUUUCUUGAUGGAUAUUCGGGCUACAACCAGAUUGCUAUAGCACCAGAAGAUCAGGAAAAGACAACCUUCACCUGUCCUUAUGGAACUUUUGCUUACAGACGGAUGCCAUUCGGAUUAUGCAAUGUACCGGCCACUUUUCAGAGAUGCAUGAUGGCAAUCUUUGCAGACAUGGUUGAAGACAUCAUGGAGGUAUUUAUGGAUGAUUUCUCAGUGUUUGGUACUUCUUUUGAUAACUGCCUUCACAAUCUCUCCUUAGUGCUGCAACGCUAUGAGGAAAGGAAUUUAGUUCUCAACUGGGAAAAGUGCCACUUCAUGGUACAAGAAGGUAUUGUGCUAGGCCAUCAUGUUUCGGCGAGAGGAUUGGAAGUGGACAGAGCAAAAAUUGAUACAAUUGAAAAGCUACCACAACCCAUCAAUAUCAAAGGCAUUCGAAGUUUCUUAGGGCACGCUGGAUUCUACAGGAGAUUCAUCAAAGACUUCUCAAAAGUGGCAAAACCCCUAUGUAACCUUUUGGAGAAGGGCACAACGUUCGUAUUUGAUGAAGACUGCUUACGGGCUUUUGAAACCAUAAAGGCAAAAUUAGUCACUGCCCCAGUGAU